GUUUAUUCUUGAGGUGAAGGAAUCAUGAGAAGAUGAUGGAUCUGUUGAGAUCCCCGGUGAUUCAUGGUGGUGCUGUUAAAUCAAAUGUUCAUUCAACUCAGCAGAAAUGGAGGGGAACCACUUGUUCUGAAUGUAGUGAGGAAAGCAGAACAAUUGCUUGUGAAUGUGGUGUUAGAGUAAUUCACUAUCUCUGGUGAAACUAACUUUCUCAAGUAGUAAGAAGGAAGGAUGAUUUUACAGCUUUAUGGGAUAAACUGAAUUGUGCACAUCAAGUUUCAAUGUCCUGUUAUUGGUAAACUUUUUGCUGCUGAAGAAAGCUCUGUUCAGAUUGGUCUUAAGAAGUAUGACCCUCAAAAGGACAAGCGUUUCAGUGGUUCAGUGUAGUUACCACAUAUUCCCCGCCUGAAGAUGAAAUUUUGCAAGAUUGGAUAUGACAAAGGUAUACAUGCUUGAUACACAAGAGGCACUGGAGUCGAUAUUCAAAAAAUGGGAAAAGACUGCUCCUUUUGCUUGGGAUGCGCGCGACAUGGGAUUUUGAUGGUCAUAUGAUAUUACUUGCUUUCUCAGAAUAAGUAGAAUUGGGCUCUAUGCACUUCGUGUCGAGGCUUCUGACAUUGGGGUGCCAAGACUAAGGAAGAGGAAUUCAACACAGGAUCCCCUUCUGUUCUUAUGAUGAGUGUCAAAAAUAACACUCAGGCACUUAAAGAAGAAAUGCUCUUGUCUGGUCUUAAUGAAUUUGUAUCCACUCUCAUGGUAUGCUUAGUUACAUGUUUCUUUUGACAACCAUUCUUGCAGUUGAGGGCUAACAAAGAUAACCUAUCCACUCUCAUGGUAUGCUUAGUUACAAAAUAUGUUCAUGAUAUUUGUGAUACAGAGAAUUUGUAUUCCCUUAGGACAUAGGAAUGAACUUGUAAUGAUUUAAGUGAGAAUGAACUCAACUUGUGAAGUUUUUAUCUUUAUC
This is a long non-coding RNA of Papaver somniferum (opium poppy), 961 nucleotides long. RefSeq lists it as uncharacterized. The transcript has 6 exons. The record is from RefSeq and is a predicted model, not a curated record. NCBI's taxonomy places the organism in Eukaryota, Viridiplantae, Streptophyta, Magnoliopsida, Ranunculales, Papaveraceae.